GUGGGGAAUCUUGCGCAAUGGGCGAAAGCCUGACGCAGCCAUGCCGCGUGAAUGAUGAAGGUCUUAGGAUUGUAAAAUUCUUUCACCGGGGACGAUAAUGACGGUACCCGGAGAAGAAGCCCCGGCUAACUUCGUGCCAGCAGCCGCGGUAAUACGAAGGGGGCUAGCGUUGCUCGGAAUUACUGGGCGUAAAGGGCGCGUAGGCGGACAGUUUAGUCAGAGGUGAAAGCCCAGGGCUCAACCUUGGAAUUGCCUUUGAUACUGGCUGUCUUGAGUACGGGAGAGGUGAGUGGAACUCCGAGUGUAGAGGUGAAAUUCGUAGAUAUUCGGAAGAACACCAGUGGCGAAGGCGACUCACUGGCCCGUUACUGACGCUGAGGCGCGAAAGCGUGGGGAGCAAACAGGAUUAGAAACCCGGGUAGUCC
Molecule: ribosomal RNA, 425 nt
Filed under: uncultured bacterium
Lineage: Bacteria
Description: bacterial SSU rRNA
Rfam family: Bacterial small subunit ribosomal RNA
Source: RNAcentral